Molecule: ribosomal RNA, 151 nt
Filed under: Sus scrofa (pig)
Lineage: Eukaryota; Metazoa; Chordata; Mammalia; Artiodactyla; Suidae
Description: partial small subunit ribosomal RNA
Source: RNAcentral
GCGUAAGAGUGUUUAAGAAAAAACCACAAUAGAGUUAAAUUAUAACUAAGCUGUAAAAAGCCCUAGUUAAAAUAAAAUAACCCACGAAAGUGACUCUAAUAAUUCUGACACACGAUAGCUAGGACCCAAACUGGGAUUAGAUACCCCACAA